AGACGAACCGUGCAAACGUUGUUCGGAAUCACUGGGCUUAAAGGGCGCGUAGGCGGCUCAUCAAGUCGGGGGUGAAAUACUUCAGCUUAACUGGAGAAGUGCCUUCGAUACUGGUGGGCUUGAGGGAGGUAGGGGUCUUUGGAACUUCUGGUGGAGCGGUGAAAUGCGUUGAUAUCAGAAGGAACGCCGGUGGCGAAAGCGAAGGACUGGACCUCUUCUGACGCUGAGGCGCGAAAGCUAGGGGAGCAAACG
Molecule: ribosomal RNA, 252 nt
Filed under: uncultured prokaryote
Description: partial 16S ribosomal RNA
Rfam family: Bacterial small subunit ribosomal RNA
Source: RNAcentral